UCGGAUUCACUGGGUAUAAAGGGUGCGUAGGCGGCCUCGUAAGUCAGGGGUGAAAUAUGACGGCUCAACCGUCAAACUGCCCCUGAAACUGCAAGGCUUGAGUCCGGGAGAGGAAGGUGGAAUUCCUGGUGUAGCGGUGAAAUGCGUAAAUAUCAGGAGGAACACCGGUGGCGAAGGCGGCCUUCUGGUCCGGUACUGACGCUGAGGCACGAAAGCUAGGGGAGCGAACAGGAUUAGAUACCCUGGUAGUCCUAGCCGUAAACGAUGGGCACUAGGUGUCGGAGGAGUCUACCCCUUCGGUGCCGCAGCUAAUGCAUUAAGUGCCCCACCUGGGGAGUACGAUCGCAAGGUUGAAACUCAAAGGAAUUGACGGGGGCCCGCACAAGCGGUGGAGCAUGUGGUUUAAUUCGAAGCAACGCGCAGAACCUUACCAACCCUUGACAUCCCGGUCGCGGUUUCCCGAGAGGGAUUCCUUCAGUUCGGCUGGACCGGCGACAGGUGCUGCAUGGCUGUCGUCAGCUCGUGUCGUGGGAUGUUCGGUUAAGUCCGGCAACGAGCGCAACCCACGUCUUUAGUUGCCAGCAUUUGGUUGGGCACUCUAAAGAAACUGCCGAUGAUAAGUCGGAGGAAGGUGUGGAUGACGUCAAGUCCUCAUGGCCCUUACGGGUUGGGCUACACACGUGCUACAAUGGUGGUGACAGUGGGUUAAUCCCCAAAAGCCAUCUCAGUUCGGAUUGUCCUCUGCAACUCGAGGGCAUGAA
This 761-nucleotide ribosomal RNA is filed under the name uncultured Alphaproteobacteria bacterium. RNAcentral describes it as "bacterial SSU rRNA". It matches the Rfam family "Bacterial small subunit ribosomal RNA", at positions 545 to 1324 of the family's 1533-position model. The record is from RNAcentral. Lineage: Bacteria; Pseudomonadati; Pseudomonadota; Alphaproteobacteria.